CCAGGGUCUGGUUUCAGGUUCUUCCGGGGAAGAAAAUGCAGAGAACACAGACUCCGUCGCCACGGGGAAGGGGCCGCCGAGCAGCAGCCGAAGGGGGUUCCGCCGGCAGGGCUCGAGGAGAUGCUCGCCCUGUCGCCGGCCACUCGGCUCCCCCUCCUCUCCUCCCCUGGACUCUGUCUUGCUCCUUGGGUCAGCAGCCCCUCACCCCUGCUCCAACGGCGAUGGCUGGGGCAGGGAAGUGAAGCAAGAGGAUCAAGUGUAAAAAAUAUGGCCGUGCUGGGCAGCGGGACCACAGUGGACGGCCGGACCACCCGCCACCCCAGGGCCAUCGUGGAAGUGGCCACUUCAGCCUUUCAGGGCCGCGCGCAAGGCUCUGCACCCCGUGUCUGCAUCCGGCGGUGCAGGGGGUGCUGGCCGCUCCAGGCCUUCCCUGGACCCAGAGGGACCAGCCCUCCCAGGCUGCCAACAGCUGACUGGGGGUCCAGGGCUGGUGGCUGGUCCGCUGCCCUGAGUGCCAUUGGUCACUAUUCACAGGGCAUCGCUAAAUGAAAGACAGAACAGCCACAGGUCAAGGUGCGGUGGAGGCCACCGUGGGGCUGGCAGGCUCCCGAGUCACUUUAUCGCCGCCACUCAACCAAGCCCCAUAGACUAAAGGCAACAGCAGAGCUGGAAGCAGGCUGGUGACGCGGGAGCUGAGAGCUUUGUGUUGGCGGCGGGCCUGGUGACGGAGCAGCCUGCAGGCCGGUGGCCCUACAGACCGAUGGGACGGGAGCUCGUCGGGACGGGAGCUCGUCGGCACGGGAGGCUUUCUGCCCAGAGAUGUCUGUUGCUCUGAUGGAUGAAAUCGGGCUUUGAACUCUGCACACCUGGGAAAAGUCGCCAACAGGCACUCGUGUUCUGUGAGUCCAGCUGUGUCCUCGGUCCCCAGACCCCACCUGGCUCCUGCGACAUGAGAGCUCAGGGAAGGUCUGCUGGUGGGCAGUGAGGACCAAGCCCUGUGAGACCAGGAAAGCUGGCAAGGACUCUGUCUCCCAGGGCUUCGUCAAGGAGAAGGCGGAAAACGAACGUUAAAACCCGCACACACUCAGCACGCUGUGUUCACGUGUAGUCCCCGGGCCACUCGCCCCUGCUCGUUCCUGGGUUCGCGAGGCCCUGCCUGUCGGCCUCCAGGGUCCUCGGUUCGGUCUACGCCUCCCGCGCCUCGGUCCACGUCUUUCCACUUUGGACCGGGGCCGGCGCCUCGCGGGACCCGCCGUGAGCGCCGAGUAGAUGCUUCUAAAAAUAAAGGAAAUCCGAUGAGACCACGUCCCUGCUCAAAGCUUGUCAGCGGCUCCCUCGCGCCCCCGGGACAAAACCCAAUGCUUUCGUCAUGAAGCUGAUGCCUCCUCGGGCUCAGAUGGCUGUCCGCUCCCCCCACCCCGCCCCCGCACGCAGGAGGAACCCAGCCUCGGCCCUGCUGAGUAACACACCCCAUUAGUCCCACCGGAGGACCAGCUCUUACUCAACCAGACAGAAUCCCGAGACGAUAAAUCUUCGUCGUUGACGCCCCCCAGUCCGUGGUGCUUUGCUGCAGCAGCCCUAGCAAGCGAACACGACCCGGAUGCACCAGAAGGCAGGGAGAGGCCAAGGGAAGACUCGGGAGAAUGUGGAAUCCUGGGCGCCGAGGAAAGACAGCGCCUGAGCGUGGAAGCGGUCGCCCAGGGCUGCCCAGAGCCAGGCCAAGGGAGGAUGAGGGAUGUCUCUUUUACGUGGCAGCACGUCGUCUGAUGACCUUGGAAGGGUAGUUUUAUGGAAGGGCAGAGGCCAGAGCCAGCGGGGUGGGGCACGAAGCAAGGCAGCAUCUCCGGAGGGGAAUUCAGCAUGGAAGACUCCUCGGAAAGACAGGCCCUUGGAAAUAAUUUGUAUGCCCGUAAGACCCACAGACGGAGGGGAAAACCGAGGGUGCUGGAGAGAGGGGAUACCUGACGGGAAGGCCCUCGAGACAGACAGCGAGAGGCCCCUCGGAAGGACACGGGCUGUCAUUCAGGGUGACGAGGAGAAAGGCUGAGCGUGAGGGGCAGAGAGGCUGAUCUUAAAUUGAGUGUAGUUUCUUGUGUUCUCGGUGAUUAAACAGAAUUUAAGCAGAGGAGAUUUUUUUUUAAACAAAUGUACGAGUCAAUGAUCACACGUGGAGUCCAGACGAGAAGAGGGUGUGCUGCUCGGGGAGGAGGCAGGGCCGCAGCAGCAGGGGAAGGUGUGAACCGUGCCGUUUGCAACUGCGAAAUAGCCAUUUAAGGGGACAGAUGGAAAUGGCAUUGUUUGCCAAAGUCGCCGGGACAGCAGAACUGGAGUUUUGACAGCAGGCGGUGGGGGCUGUGACUCCAGGGGCUCCACUCCCAGGUGACUCAGGGAGCUGUCCCUGUGUCGCUGACUGACCACCUCAGCCGAUGGGAAGGGUCAAGGCAAUGAUACGUUUUGAAAAUAGUACAUGUGGUGGUUCAAAAUCUGCCAUAUUUAAUUCGAAGGUGAUAAAUAGAUCCUCUUUACCUCGUUUCUUCCCACCUACCUGGGAUUGAGACCCUGCCUCUAGAGCAAGGAAUUCUGGGAGUUCAGUAGCAGCACGACCUUGGCUCCUGGUAGCUGUUGACCUGUGGCCAAUUGCACAAUAACAAUAAUAAUAUAACAAUAAUAAAUGUAUCGAGCUCUUGCUAUGUGCCGGGCCCUGAGCUGAGCACUUCAAGUCUGUUUUCUUCUUUAAUCCUUAUGCAGAACUGUGAGGUAUAGACAAUCAGCCUUCACAUUUUACUCAAAAGAAUCCGAGGCUCCCAGCAGUUAAGCGACAUGCAGUGUGAUAGACGUGCGCUUGCUCUAGGUGACUAAGUCACCCCAGUGUGACAGAGGUAGCCCUUGAAGCCACAUAUUCCGUUUAACUUCUCCGAGCCUCAGUUUGCUCGUCGUAAAGCGGGACUAGAAACACUCGCACGCAGGAGCGUCCUGGGUUCCCUGACGUGACGUAGCGGUAGAGGUUCGACGCCGGAAAUGUAGGCAUUUUAAUAAAGGACGGGAGAGAGGAAGAGAAAAGUGAUGACCACGACCAUCAAGCCAUAAAUGAGAGUCGGUGAAAUUCUGGGUAUUGGUCGGAGAGAGUUGGUGCGGGGUGUUUUGACUUCGUGCCUCGAACCCCAUGACGUAUAGUCGUUCUUCAACGUGGUUUUAAUUUUCAGGGCCAGGACCAGGGCGAAUGAGGCACCAGCUUCCGUGCAACGUUAAGGGGACCCCAAAAACUUCAGUUAUCAAGGUGAAUUGUAGUCGCCAUGCUGUACAUUACAUGUCAGGACUCACGCCUGCUCUGUCCAGCUCCCCACACCCCCUCGCCAGGCAUCAGGCAUCCUCGUUGUGGAUGGAAUUCGGUCACAGCUGCGUCACCCAGCCCUCGACUCCAGCGCUUGACUCCACUCUCUCUCAGGCGGCCUGCCACACACUUAAUCAGUAACCAGGUCCUACCGGUUUUAACUCCAAAAGGCCCUUGAAGCUGUCCCCACCUCUCUGUUACCUCUGCCCCAGCUCAGACCCUCCUCAGAUUUCACCCGGUCUCGGAUGUGUCCUCAGAUGUGUCCUCAGAUGUGUCCUCAAAUGCGCCCUUCCCCACCCCCAUUGGACUUUCGGGGGCCUCUUCUGCUCAAACACCUGGCUCCUAGACCCAGCUCCUGCGCCCUCCCUGCUCAGACCCUGCCGUCUUUCUGACUUGCGCUUUGUUGUCUAGCAACAGUCAACUGCUGUUUUCCUGACCGCAAAAUGUUGCUUUUCAGUUCCAAAUCUGGGCUCACGAGGUUCCCGGGUUUGUCACGCCUUCCUCCCCUUCAUCUGGCUCAGAUCCCGUGGCAUGUCCUCCAGGAAGCCUGCCCAGAUCUUCCUCUCUCUCAAACUGAGUUAGAGCUGCGGAAGGCGAAAUGGAACCGGGAACUCGGAGUUGGUGACUGGGAGGGAUCAGAAACCGCCUGGAGAGGCUCGGAUCAGACAGAGAGCCGCCCGGAUGGACAGUCCCGCAGAUGGGGCAGCUACCUCGCUACGUCCCGCUGCUGUGGGUUCAGAAGCCACCAAACCAGAGGCAAAGCGAAGCGGUUAUUCAUUCCCUCAGCCAGGGCUUUCUGAACAUCUCCUUGGGAGCAGGGGCUGGGGACGCGGCGGUGAACCGAGAAGGUUCAUUGUCCCUGUUCUCAGCGAGCUCACUGGGAGUGGGGUGGGGGUGGGGGGGACAGAAAACACCAGAGCAAGCGCAGGACUAUGUCAUUACACUUGGUAAUGAGAUCUGUGAAGGGACUAAACAGGAAAUGGCAGGUAGGCAGGGCAGGUCUCUCUUCAGAAGUGGUUUUCAAGGGGAAGGCGGCGAGGACAGGGAGGAGGAGCCACAGUGCAGGUGAGCGGGGGGAGGGGCAGA
Pteropus alecto (black flying fox) is the source of this 4417-nucleotide long non-coding RNA. RefSeq lists it as uncharacterized. The record is from RefSeq and is a predicted model, not a curated record. The transcript has 6 exons. Lineage: Eukaryota; Metazoa; Chordata; Mammalia; Chiroptera; Pteropodidae.